RNAcentral lists this ribosomal RNA (1135 nucleotides) under Flavobacterium sp. RNAcentral's name for it is "bacterial SSU rRNA". It matches the Rfam family "Bacterial small subunit ribosomal RNA", at positions 67 to 1214 of the family's 1533-position model. Lineage: Bacteria; Pseudomonadati; Bacteroidota; Flavobacteriia; Flavobacteriales; Flavobacteriaceae. The record is from RNAcentral.
GGUAUGUUCUUCGGAACAGAGACCGGCGCACGGGUGCGUAACGCGUAUGCAAUCUACCUUUUACAGAGGGAUAGCCCAGAGAAAUUUGGAUUAAUACCUCAUAGCAUAGCAGUCUCGCAUGAGAUCACUAUUAAAGUCACAACGGUAAAAGAUGAGCAUGCGUCCCAUUAGCUAGUUGGUAAGGUAACGGCUUACCAAGGCUACGAUGGGUAGGGGUCCUGAGAGGGAGAUCCCCCACACUGGUACUGAGACACGGACCAGACUCCUACGGGAGGCAGCAGUGAGGAAUAUUGGACAAUGGGCGCAAGCCUGAUCCAGCCAUGCCGCGUGCAGGAUGACGGUCCUAUGGAUUGUAAACUGCUUUUAUACGAGAAGAAACACUCCAACGUGUUGGAGCUUGACGGUAUCGUAAGAAUAAGGAUCGGCUAACUCCGUGCCAGCAGCCGCGGUAAUACGGAGGAUCCAAGCGUUAUCCGGAAUCAUUGGGUUUAAAGGGUCCGUAGGCGGUUUAGUAAGUCAGUGGUGAAAGCCCAUCGCUCAACGGUGGAACGGCCAUUGAUACUGCUAAACUUGAAUUAUUAGGAAGUAACUAGAAUAUGUAGUGUAGCGGUGAAAUGCUUAGAGAUUACAUGGAAUACCAAUUGCGAAGGCAGGUUACUACUAAUGGAUUGACGCUGAUGGACGAAAGCGUGGGUAGCGAACAGGAUUAAAUACCCUGGUAGUCCACGCCGUAAACGAUGGAUACUAGCUGUUGGGAGCAAUCUCAGUGGCUAAGCGAAAGUGAUAAGUAUCCCACCUGGGGAGUACGUUCGCAAGAAUGAAACUCAAAGGAAUUGACGGGGGCCCGCACAAGCGGUGGAGCAUGUGGUUUAAUUCGAUGAUACGCGAGGAACCUUACCAAGGCUUAAAUGUAGAUUGACCGGUUUGGAAACAGAUCUUUCGCAAGACAAUUUACAAGGUGCUGCAUGGUUGUCGUCAGCUCGUGCCGUGAGGUGUCAGGUUAAGUCCUAUAACGAGCGCAACCCCUGUUGUUAGUUGCCAGCGAGUCAUGUCGGGAACUCUAACAAGACUGCCAGUGCAAACUGUGAGGAAGGUGGGGAUGACGUCAAAUCAUCACGGCCCUUACGCCUUGGGC